RNAcentral lists this long non-coding RNA (4873 nucleotides) under Anolis carolinensis (green anole). RNAcentral's name for it is "lncRNA (ENSACAG00000035004.1)". Lineage: Eukaryota; Metazoa; Chordata; Lepidosauria; Squamata; Anolidae. The record is from RNAcentral.
UUAAACUUUAGCGGAUUUGAUUAUUUGCAUAUUUGACUAAUAUUCGAGUUCAAGUUUACUUUAUUACGGUCAAUGACCAGCUCAUGAUUUGAUUAAUAUGUUAUCUCUAGAAAUCUCUAAGUUCUCCAGCAUAACCCUAUGGUCAACUUGCACCAAAUGUGGUACUGGGGGAAUUAAAGGUUCCUAAAGAGAACACAUCCCUAGGCAUUUGGAGAUCCUCCAAUAUGAUUUAUAGUCAACUUCGUUACAAAUUGUUCAAUGCAUGUAACCCAGUAAUCCAGUAAUACAAUGCACAGUUUGGCCAGUUCAAAAAUUAUGCAACACAAAUAUGAAGAAUGCAGAAAACUGAAAUUUACUCUUAAGUAUUCAGAAGAAGUGAAUUCAAAAAACUCAAUCAGCAGUAUAGUCACAAUUCCUUUUGUGCAUUACACUCACACAUGGUCCAAAUGCACUCCAUGCAGUCAUGCUGGUGACAUGACCUUGGAGGUGUCUAUGGACAACACCGGCUCUUCGGCUUAGAAAUGGAGAUGAGCACCAACCCCCAGAGAUAGACAUGACUAGACUUAAUGUCAGGGGAAAACCUUUACCUAUAGUCCAUAUAGUCUAUAGAAAUAAAUUUUCCAAUGUUCCUUGGAUGUAGAAGUACUGGACAGCAUGAAAUGGAGUUGCUGCCAGUCAGGAGCUUUAUGCUGAGCAGCAAGGCUUCUAGCAAGCUCAACUUCCAGGAGCAAAUACAAACGUGCCUUUCUUUCCACUCCUAUUUCAGAGGGUGCCUGCCUUAUAGAGGAUGCUUGCAAGAUAUUAACAGGCUCGCAAUACUGCCUUUGCAAAAAAAAACCGACAAGUCAAUGGAGCAAGAGAUGAGAAACAGCCUUGGAAAAUUUCAGAGCAAUUGUAAUUGGCUUUUUUAUAAAAACAACAACAACGGCAACAACAAAAUAAAUGAACCAUCAGUGAGCAGUUGCAUUGUUUGUUUGGCGUUUCAUGUGCUCAUAAGAAAGUGAGAGGCACCAAAAAGGAACUAGAGGACAUGGAAUCGCAUCGAUUCUUUACAGCACUGCCCUUGUGCCACAUUUGCGCAAAGUCUCGUUUUGUGCCGAGGGACUGAAAAUCCAUCCAAACUGCAGAGGUUUCAAGAUGGUAUGGGACCAAUAUUCUUAGCUGCACUAAAGUUGCAUUUCUAGCUUUGGAAGCAAUGCUCCGUCAUAGAUUUACUUCUGAGCAAUACCAUGGAAGAGAAAGCAAGUAGGAAUGUGAGAAAAAGAAACAGAGCAGGAAAAGAAAGCAAGACUCUAAGGAUCACUUUCUGUCUGUCAGCAAAACCAAAGUGAUUCCACUCUGUAGUUAGCAUUUUAUCAACGAUUUGUAAAUGCAACAUUGGGGGCACAUAUUAUUGACACAAGGCUCAAGAUACAAGCCUCAGCCCUUCCCAGCGGUGGAGGCUGUAUCUCGGGUAUCCAAGCCGCCAAGUCUAAUGAAGGAGAGGUUUAAUUGCAGGCCUAACAACAGAGAUCAAACCCGACGAGCCGAUCUGUGUACAUCCAAAAUUGCAAGUAUCGGCCGGCUUCAUUGUCACCCGCACAAAGACCCGAAGCCUAAAAUCCUUUACUCAACUAAAUUCUUAAUAAGUAAACUGCGACUAACCCUCUAAUACCAGAUUUGUUAAACAAUGUGAUUUCAGCCCUGGCUAUUCAUGUACCUUGUACAAGUAAAAUGACUGUUAAGGCUAAGAAUCAUGAAAGAGUCAUUUUAUAUAGCUGCUAAAUUCCCUUCAAAUCUCCUUGCAACUUAACGAGUAAAGAAAGAUCAACGUGUAAUACCGGCUAAUGUGGUUUAUGCUGGAAAAUACUAUCAACCUAUCUUUGUGCCUUAUCUAAGCCUGGAUAAUACUUAGCCUUUAUAGGAGACCCAACCCCGUUUUUUCUCCCUCUCCCCCAACUCUUGACUAUGUAUUUCCUAAAAUCCUUUUGCAAAGAGUUAAAUUGGAUGUGAAAUCUGUACUAGGCUCCGGCGUUCUCUUUGUUCUAAGACUCGCCGGCAAAGUCUUGCGUCUGUAUCACUUUCAUUGCCUUCUGAUUGAGCCUGACAGUGUGACAGAAAAUGCAAUCCCAAACUGAAUGCAGGCCUUUUUCAGCCCAGGCGCGCUCUGCUCCUUAGCCCCUGAGAAAAAGAAGGGAACAGAUGCCGGUCGCCAGCUUCCCUAACAAAGUCCUAACUUUGAUGCAGACGGAGGAGGAGGUGGGGGGAGAGAUAUAUAAAAAGAUUGCCUCCCUUCAGAAGACCUUGAAAGGAGCACAAAAGGAGAAAAAGGGAGAAAGAGGGAAGGGGUAGAAGGGGCCAAGCAGGAGGAAAAGGAGGAGGAGGAAAGCACAGCCUGGGACGCUUUCGGGAAGCCACAGGACUUUUAAAGAAAAUGUGUUGUCGCAGGGAAGGUUUCAGAUCAUCAAAUUCCAGAGCUCAAAAAAGCAAGAGAGGGGAAAAAAAAGACUAGUGUUGUUCGAAGAGGGGUUCUGGUCUGUUUUGCUGCUCCUCCCAUUCUCUAAUGAUGGUCCUGGGAACAAGCGCUCAGUAGGCUCACAAAUGGCACCGUGUAGCUGGGCUUCUAGUUUUGGGAAAGUCAAAAGCACUGCAUAUGGCACUCAUGGGCCGGGCUGUGGCGCAGCUGGCUAGUAAGCAGCUGCAAUAAAUCAGCUAAUUUAACUAAUUUACAACAUCAUAAAACUGCCAGCAAAACACGAGGAAAGGAAUGAGGAAGUACAGCCACCAGUGGACAGUGAAGCAACAGCUCCCCCUGUGGCCGGAAUCGUGAAGCUGGAAAAAAAUGUUAAAUGCCUCUGUGUCUGUCUAUAUAUGUUGUUUGUCUGUUGGCAUUGAAUGUUUGCCAUAUAUGUGUUCAUUGUAAUCUGCCCUGAGUCCCCUUCGGGGUGAGAAGGGUGGAAUAUAAAUACUGUAAAUAUAUAUAUAUAUAUAUAUAUAUAUAUAUAUAUAUAUAUAUAUAUAAAACCAGAGUCGACCCACUGGAGAAGUGGUAUUUAUUUACCUACUUGAAUCACAGAAUCAUAGAAUCAUAGAACAGUAGAGUUGGAAGAGAUCUCAUGGGCCAUCCAGUCCAACCCCCUGCCAAGAAGCAGGAAAUCGCAUUCAAAGCACCCCCGACAGAUGGCCAUCCAGCCUCUGCUUAAAAGCCUCCAAAGAAGGAGCCUCCACCACGGCCCUGGGGAGAGAGUUCCACUGUCGAACAGCUCUCACAGUGAGGAAAUUCUUCCUGAUGUUCAGAUGGAAUCUCCUUUCCUGUAGUUUGAAGCCAUUGUUCCGCAUCCUAGUCCGCAGGGCAGCAGAAAACAAGCUUGCUCCCUCCUCCCUAUAACCCCCCCCCUCACAUCUUGAUACAUGGCCCUCAUCAUGUCUCCUCUUAGCCUUCUCAUCUGCAGGCUAAACAUGCCCAGUUCUUUAAGCCGCUCCUCACAGGGCUUGUUCUCCAGACCCUUGAUCAUUUUAGAGGGCCUUUUCGGUGGUGGCCCCACGGCUCUGGAACUGCCUCCCUAAUGAGGUACGAUCAGCCCCUUCCUUAAUGGCCUUUUGUUCGCAAAUUAAAAACCUUUCUGUGGAUCCAGGCCUUUCCAAACAAAUGAAAAUAGACACUGCCAGUCUGAUAAAAUUUUUGAUAAUACUUGGCAAAUAACUUCAGUGGCCGGAGGUUAUGGAUAUCUUUAAUAUGGUGCUUGUUGUAAGUUUUAAAAUUGUUUUAUUUGUUGCUGAUAGGAGAACUCUGUGGGGUCUCGUUAAUGGGGUCACCAAAAGUUGGUGUCCUAAGACGGAGCCAGGAUGAAGCCUCGCUGGAAGUAGAUCUGUGUUAUGUAAAGGGCUCCUGUGGGCUCCAUCUUGGAAGCAUCCUAGAACAGAGCCAGAAGUCAAUGUAAAAGGAUCCUGAAUGGCUGUCAACAACUACAAUAUGUAAUGUAGUUAGGACUAGCAUGUUAUUACUCCCAGGAAAGGUCAGAAUAGACCAGAAAUGCUUCUUUUCGGCUUACCAUACUUUUUGUCACAUAGUCUUCUGUGUGUUCUGAAUCCUAUGGUAGUUCACACUAGUUGAAUUAAGAACCAGCAUGUUGGUGAAGACCAUUAAGUCAAUUACUUGCAAGAGAGAUAGAUGAUAGAUAGAUAGAUAGAUAGAUAGAGUUAGAUAGAUAGAUAUAGUUAUAGAUAGAUAGAUAGAUAGAUAGAUAGAUAGAUAGAUAGAUAGAUAGAUAGAUAGAUAGAUAGAUACCGUGUUUCCCCGAAAAUAAGACAGUGUCUUAUAUUAAUUUUGCUCCCAAAGAUGCACUAGGUCUUAUUUUCAGCGGAUGUCUUAUUUUUCUAUAAAGAAGAAUUCACAUUUAUUGUUGAACAAAAAAUGAACAUUUAUUAUAUACUGUACAGUAGUUGUCAUCACAAGCCAGCAUAACCAGACAAAAUGUGAAUCCUAUCAAUAAUUUCUUGUUACUACCAAUAUUUCCACGUACAACACUCUAUGGUACGUACAUUUACCAAUCCUGCAUGCUCUGGUGUUCUGUUUGACGGACAUGCUUCCAAACAAAAACUUUGCUAGGUCUUACUUUCGGGGGAGGCCUUAUAUUUAGCAAUUCAGCAAAACCUCUACUAGGUCUUAUUUUCUGAUGAUGUCUUAUUUUAGGGGAAACAGGGUAGAUAGAAAUGAUGACUGAUGAAAUACUUAGGACUUCAUCAGACAGGUGGGAGGAAAGCAGGAAAAAAACAUUGGGAAGAGUGGUGACUCUGGGGGUGGCCAACCAUCCCACAACCUUUCCCCAACUUCUUCCCACUUCCCUCCACUUUUUUCAGUCUCCUCUCCACUGGCAAGAUGGAGUCCAGUGAC